This 1041-nucleotide ribosomal RNA is filed under the name Triticum aestivum (bread wheat). RNAcentral's name for it is "partial small subunit ribosomal RNA". The record is from RNAcentral. Lineage: Eukaryota; Viridiplantae; Streptophyta; Magnoliopsida; Poales; Poaceae.
AUGGUGAUCAAACUCAGCGCCGGCGCCUUCGCGGUGUCUGUCUGCCUGUCACUCGCCUUCUUCGUCGGGCACGGGCAGCCUGUGCUGGCCGACGGUGGCGGUGGCAAGAAGCACGAUGUUGCUGACACGGUUAAGAAAGAAGUGGCCAUUGCCAUGAAGAAAAACCCGCGCAUCGGCGCCGCCCUCGUCCGGUUGCUCUUUCACGACUGCUGGGUCCACGGCUGCGAUGGAUCGGUGCUCUUAGACAAGACCCCGGACGGCGGCAGCACGGAGAAGGACGCGAUGAACAAUAUCGGCCUGGAGGGCUUCGACCUGAUCGACAGGAUCAAGGACAAGCUCGGCGAGAGCGUCUCCUGCGCCGACAUCGUCGUGCUGGCCGCCCGGGACGCGACCUCCAUCCUCAGCCGCGGCAACAUCGCCUACAACGUCACGACGGGGCGGAAGGACGGCGUCAGGUCGUCCGCCGCGGCCGCCGACGCCGUCCUCCCUCCCUCCACGUUCAACUUCACGCAACUCAAGGCCAACUUCGCCGCCAGGAACUUCACCCAGACGGAGCUCGUCGUCCUCUCCGGCGCGCACGCCGUCGGCGUCGCCCACCUCUCGUCGUUCCGCGACCGCCUCGACAACGCCACCGCCACCCCGAUCAGCGUCAGGUACCAGAAUGCGCUCCGCGACCAUGUUGAGGACAAGACGACGGCGGCGGUGCCCGACCCGACGGAGAUGAACAACAUCCGCGACAUGGAGUUCGCCUUCCGGAACGCCUCCGGGUACAACGCCACUGGGGUCGACACGUCCAGGGCGGCGAGGGGGGUCCUGGACAACAGCUACUACCACGCCAACCUCCAGAACAAGGUGCUCUUCAGGUCCGACUGGGAGCUGCGCAACGACACCACGGGCGCCGCCGGGAGGGACAUGAGGGAGUUUAGGGACGACGCUGCCGGGUGGUACGUGCUAUUCGGCAAGGCCAUGGCCAAGCUCAGCGAGAUCCCCGCCGAGGGCAGCCGUUUCGAGAUCAGGAAGAACUGCAGAACCACCAACUGA